GAUGAACGCUGGCGGCGUGCCUAAUACAUGCAAGUCGAACGCAUUGUGGUUGAAAUGAUAUGAAGAACUUGUUCAGAUUUGAUUUUCAACAUUGCAAUGAGUGGCGAACGGGUGAGUAACACGUGGGAAACCUACCUCUUAGCAGGGGAUAACAUUUGGAAACAAAUGCUAAUACCGUAUGAUAAUUAAAACCGCAUGGUUUUAGUUUAAAAGAUGGUCUUGCUAUCACUAAGAGAUGGUCCCGCGGUGUAUUAGUUAGUUGGUGAGGUAAUGGCUCACCAAGACAAUGAUACAUAGCCGAGUUGAUAGACUGACCGGCCACAAUGGGACUGAGACACGGCCCAUACUCCUACGGGAGGCAGCAGUAGGGAAUCUUCCACAAUGGACGAAAGUCUGAUGGAGCAACGCCGCGUGUGUGAUGAAGGGUUCGGCUCGUAAAACACUGUUGUAAGAGAAGAAUGACAUUGAGAGUAACUGUUCAAUGUGUGACGGUA
This 494-nucleotide ribosomal RNA is filed under the name uncultured bacterium. RNAcentral's name for it is "bacterial SSU rRNA". It matches the Rfam family "Bacterial small subunit ribosomal RNA", at positions 28 to 477 of the family's 1533-position model. The record is from RNAcentral.